Molecule: long non-coding RNA, 783 nt
Filed under: Carica papaya (papaya)
Lineage: Eukaryota; Viridiplantae; Streptophyta; Magnoliopsida; Brassicales; Caricaceae
Description: long non-coding RNA (CPAP_LNC009198)
Source: RNAcentral
UAGGAUUAAGAGAAGGACCACAGCAAAAAGAAGGACUAGCUAUUGUUUCAAACAAGACAUCACUAUGUUUUAAUGCUUGAAAUAAAUCAAAUUAAGUUUGAAGGGGGGUAUUAAGUUGCAGUUUGAGAAUUUGAAAGAUUGAGUCAAAUUGAAAUCUUCAGAGUCAUUCUUAAUUUAACAGCAUGUUUCUCAGUUUUAACUGAGAAAAUGAAAAUGGCAGAAGCUUUGAAUAUAAAAGGAUAAUCUUAUGAUGCAGAUACCCAGUAGAAAUUGCAACUUGGGUAUGAAGUUAAGUUCUUCAAACUUCAGUUUGGAUUUUGGUUGUGUAAGUAAGCGAAGGAGUCGAUGUAUAGUCUGACAAAACGAAAGCUUUGUAUUAAGAUUAUGUGCAAAAAUAACUAAUGCUCUGGAAUGUGAAGUCAAAUUAAUAAUUAAAAAUGCUGUAGAGAGAAGAAUCAGGGGAAUUGGUAUUACAAACAAAGUCGUGAAAACCAGAAGAACAAAAAAUUAUAAAUAAAAAAAAUCCAACCCUGCAAUCUCCACGAAGAGGGUAAGUAAAGAGAAUUGUGUUGGAAGAGAAACCAAUUCUCUUCCUUUUAAUCUUCUUCUUCUUCAUCCUCUCUUUCUGCUCUCUCUACAACAAGAGAAAGAAGAGUUUCAGACCACCCAUUUCUUCUCUUUCUUAUCUUCUUCUUCUUCCUGAACUUUUUUCUCUCAAGUACACCCCCCAACCAGCAAGAGACUAAAUUCAAACCAGACAAGCAUACAAAUGGUUAAAUCUUU